RNAcentral lists this long non-coding RNA (955 nucleotides) under Monodelphis domestica (gray short-tailed opossum). RNAcentral describes it as "lncRNA (ENSMODG00000029975.2)". The record is from RNAcentral. Lineage: Eukaryota; Metazoa; Chordata; Mammalia; Didelphimorphia; Didelphidae.
UCAUAGAACAGUUCUAAUUGUUAGGAUAUUUCUCAUUGACACAAACAGUCUAAAUUUUAUUCUUUGCAACUUUUGACUUUUAGGAUGAAAUAGAACCUGCCUUAUCUCUCUUUCCCAAAAGAACUCUUCACUUUAAGACAGCUAUCAUGUUCUUUCUAAGAUUUUUCUUUGUUAAACCAAACAUUCUUUGUUCUUUCAGCUGAACUCCUUAUGGCAUGGACUUGAGGGCCAUUAUCAUUCUCUUUGCUCUUCUAUGGAUGCUCUCCAGUUUGCCUUUAAAUGAGACUGCUGCCACACUCUCUGAUACUGCUAAAAGGAACUUCAGAAAUGGAAAACCUUUCUGGACAUCUUUGAAAAACUUCCACAGAACAUGGUGCAGCCCAGACUCAUGGACUCUUGGAAAGCUCCUUUUCCAUCUCUGCUGCUGCUUGACCUUAUCACUCACUGCCAGUACUCAGCUCUUUCCAAAGCUACAAAGACUUUAAAUGGGGAGGUGCUAUCCACAAAAGAAACUCAAAUAGAAGAUGAGAGCUGGAGGUUAGGCUCCAAAAAUUAAACUUAAAAGCAAUGUAAUUGGAGUUUUAUGCUCAUUGGAUCAAAUUGGGGUGGAUACCAUUUAUAUUUGAGAAACUGAAACUCAUUUUCAUAUCCAGAAUGUUUGCAUAAUCUUAGGCCACAUUUGCCUGCUUGGCAUGGUCAAUCUCCUUCCCUGUAUCCUAAUCAUCUCUCUUGCUUCUGUCUUCUUGCUACCUUCUUCUUAAUGAAAACCAUCUCUUCAUUUCUCUUAUGCCCCUCUGCUUGGUUCUUGCUUCUCACUAUUUAAACCAUUAUUGCAACUGCUCAUUGUCUAUGGGAGUGGGGCGGGAAAUGGGAGGGAAAGAACAUGAAUUAUGUAACCAUGGAAAAAUAUUCUAAAUCAAUUAAUGAAAUAAAAAUUUUCAAAUAAAAAAUGUCA